CCGGCCGAAGAUGGCCAGGCUGAGGCAAACCGCUGCCACGGACGGUGGUGCCGCCGGCGGAGCACAGCGGCACAACUCCGAAAUUGGUCUGAAAGGAUUUUUAACAUUGAUUUUGAGUUUUUGAGAUAUUUUUAGAUACGUGAAGCGUGUUUUAAUCUCCGUAAGAAAAUUCAGGAAACCUAGGGACCGCUAGUAGGCGCAGU
RNAcentral lists this long non-coding RNA (203 nucleotides) under Carica papaya (papaya). RNAcentral's name for it is "long non-coding RNA (CPAP_LNC007137)". The record is from RNAcentral. Lineage: Eukaryota; Viridiplantae; Streptophyta; Magnoliopsida; Brassicales; Caricaceae.